Molecule: ribosomal RNA, 497 nt
Filed under: uncultured bacterium
Lineage: Bacteria
Description: partial 16S ribosomal RNA
Rfam family: Bacterial small subunit ribosomal RNA
Source: RNAcentral
GAUGAACGCUGGCGGCGUGCCUAAUACAUGCAAGUCGAGCGAACAGACGAGGAGCUUGCUCCUCUGACGUUAGCGGCGGACGGGUGAGUAACACGUGGAUAACCUACCUAUAAGACUGGGAUAACUUCGGGAAACCGGAGCUAAUACCGGAUAAUAUAUUGAACCGCAUGGUUCAAUAGUGAAAGACGGUUUUGCUGUCACUUAUAGAUGGAUCCGCGCCGCAUUAGCUAGUUGGUAAGGUAACGGCUUACCAAGGCAACGAUGCGUAGCCGAGCUGAGAGGGUGAUCGGCCACACUGGAACUGAGACACGGUCCAGACUCCGACGGGAGGCAGCAGUAGGGAAGCGUGCGCAAUGGGCGAAAGCCUGACGGAGCAACGCCGCGUGAGUGAUGAAGGUCUUCGGAUCGGAAAACUCUGUUAUUAGGGAAGAACAAAUGUGUAAGUAACUAUGCACGUCUUGACGGUACCUAAUCAGAAAGCCACGGCUAACUACGUG